AACCGCCGGAAAUGAGUUGUUGU
RNAcentral lists this small nuclear RNA (23 nucleotides) under Arabidopsis thaliana (thale cress). RNAcentral describes it as "snRNA_02636". Lineage: Eukaryota; Viridiplantae; Streptophyta; Magnoliopsida; Brassicales; Brassicaceae. The record is from RNAcentral.